UACGGGGGGAGCAAGCGUUGUUCGGAUUUACUGGGCGUAAAGGGCGCGUAGGCGGUCAGCACAAGUCAGUUGUGAAAUCUCCGGGCUUAACUCGGAAAGGUCAACUGAUACUGUGCGACUAGAGUGCGGAAGGGGCAACUGGAAUUCUCGGUGUAGCGGUGAAAUGCGUAGAUAUCAAGAGGAACACCUGCGGCGAAGGCGGGUUGCUGGGCCGACACUGACGCUGAUGCGCGAAAGCGUGGGGAGCAAACAGG
RNAcentral lists this ribosomal RNA (254 nucleotides) under uncultured bacterium. Its description in RNAcentral is "partial 16S ribosomal RNA". It matches the Rfam family "Bacterial small subunit ribosomal RNA", at positions 524 to 776 of the family's 1533-position model. The record is from RNAcentral.